Molecule: ribosomal RNA, 164 nt
Filed under: Hypericum concinnum
Lineage: Eukaryota; Viridiplantae; Streptophyta; Magnoliopsida; Malpighiales; Hypericaceae
Description: 5.8S ribosomal RNA
Rfam family: 5.8S ribosomal RNA
About the family: 5.8S ribosomal RNA (5.8S rRNA) is a component of the large subunit of the eukaryotic ribosome. It is transcribed by RNA polymerase I as part of the 45S precursor that also contains 18S and 28S rRNA.
Source: RNAcentral
AUAACGACUCUCGGCAACGGAUAUCUAGGCUCUUGCAUCGAUGAAGAACGUAGCGAAAUGCGAUACUUGGUGUGAAUUGCAGAAUCCCGUGAACCAUCGAGUCUUUGAACGCAAGUUGCGCCCGAAGCCUUCUGGCCGAGGGCACGCCUGCCUGGGUGUCACAC